This 125-nucleotide transfer RNA is filed under the name Actinomycetes bacterium. RNAcentral's name for it is "tRNA-Val". The record is from RNAcentral. Lineage: Bacteria; Bacillati; Actinomycetota; Actinomycetes.
GGGCCGGAAAGCCAAGCGGGGCAAGGCUUCCAGGGACGCGCGGUGACCGGCGGCGACGCCGGUUUUUGGCCUGGAACUGCCUUACACGCAGGGGGUCCCAGGUUCGAACCCUGGUUCGCCCACCA